GGAAUGGCUCUUUCGAUUGAGCGGCUAGGUCUCUGCGCAGAGUUCCAGAUGAGUGCGGCCGCUGCGAUGUUCUUCAUCGGAUAUCAUGGCGACAGCAAAUGCCUUGUGAAUGUGUAGUGAUUGGUUCGUCGCCNCNUGCCGCAACGAACAAUUUCCUCUGAACU
This 164-nucleotide ribosomal RNA is filed under the name Oxyrrhis marina. The record is from RNAcentral. Lineage: Eukaryota; Dinophyceae; Oxyrrhinales; Oxyrrhinaceae.